Molecule: ribosomal RNA, 494 nt
Filed under: uncultured bacterium
Lineage: Bacteria
Description: partial 16S ribosomal RNA
Rfam family: Bacterial small subunit ribosomal RNA
Source: RNAcentral
GACGAACGCUGGCGGCGUGCUUAACACAUGCAAGUCGAACGGAAAGGCCUGCUUUCCCUUGUGGAUUGCGGGUACUCGAGUGGCGAACGGGUGAGUAACACGUGAGUGAUCUGCCCCCAACUUGGGUAUAAGCCUGGGAAACUGGGUCUAAUUCCCGAUAGGACUGCAGGGUGGUGCCUGUGGUGGAAAACGAUUUUCUAGUGGUUGGGGAUGAGCUCGCGGCCUAUCAGCUUGUUGGUGGGGUAACGGCCUACCAAGGCGGCGACGGGUAGCCGGCCUGAGAGGGUGGACGGACACAUUGGGACUGAGAUACGGCCCAGACUCCUACGGGAGGCAGCAGUGGGGAAUAUUGCACAAUGGGCGGAAGCCUGAUGCAGCGACGCCGCGUGGGGGAUGACGGCCUUCGGGUUGUAAACUCCUUUCGACCGCGAGGAAGCCACCUGGUUGGAAGGGUGGUGACGGUAGUGGUAGAAGAAGCACCGGCUAACUACGUG